Molecule: ribosomal RNA, 427 nt
Filed under: uncultured bacterium
Lineage: Bacteria
Description: partial 16S ribosomal RNA
Rfam family: Bacterial small subunit ribosomal RNA
Source: RNAcentral
UAGGGAAUCUUCGGCAAUGGACGAAAGUCUGACCGAGCAACGCCGCGUGAGUGAAGAAGGUUUUCGGAUCGUAAAACUCUGUUGUUAGAGAAGAACAAGGACGUUAGUAACUGAACGUCCCCUGACGGUAUCUAACCAGAAAGCCACGGCUAACUACGUGCCAGCAGCCGCGGUAAUACGUAGGUGGCAAGCGUUGUCCGGAUUUAUUGGGCGUAAAGCGAGCGCAGGCGGUCUCUUAAGUCUGAUGUGAAAGCCCCCGGCUCAACCGGGGAGGGUCAUUGGAAACUGGGAGACUUGAGUGCAGAAGAGGAGAGUGGAAUUCCAUGUGUAGCGGUGAAAUGCGUAGAUAUAUGGAGGAACACCAGUGGCGAAGGCGGCUCUCUGGUCUGUAACUGACGCUGAGGCUCGAAAGCGUGGGGAGCAAACA